This 464-nucleotide ribosomal RNA is filed under the name uncultured bacterium. Its description in RNAcentral is "bacterial SSU rRNA". It matches the Rfam family "Bacterial small subunit ribosomal RNA", at positions 330 to 792 of the family's 1533-position model. The record is from RNAcentral.
GCCAGACUCCUACGGGAGGCAGCAGUGAGGAAUAUUGGUCAAUGGGCGGGAGCCUGAACCAGCCAAGCCGCGUGAAGGAAGAAGGCGCCAAGCGUCGUAAACUUCUUUUGUCGGGGAACAAAGGGCGCCACGUGUGGCGUUGUGAGUGUACCCGAAGAAAAAGCAUCGGCUAACUCCGUGCCAGCAGCCGCGGUAAUACGGAGGAUGCGAGCGUUAUCCGGAUUUAUUGGGUUUAAAGGGUGCGUAGGCGGCAUUAUAAGUUAGUGGUAAAAUAUUGGGGCUUCACCUCACUACGCCAUUAAUACUGUAGAGCUAGAGAACAGACGAGGUAGGCGGAAUAAGUUAAGUAGCGGUGAAAUGCAUAGAUAUAACUUAGAACACCGAUAGCGAAGGCAGCUUACCAGACUGAGUCUGACGCUGAUGCACGAGAGCAUGGGUAGCGAACAGGAUUAGAUACCCGUGUA